RNAcentral lists this long non-coding RNA (4568 nucleotides) under Equus caballus (horse). RNAcentral describes it as "lncRNA (ENSECAG00000053194.1)". Lineage: Eukaryota; Metazoa; Chordata; Mammalia; Perissodactyla; Equidae. The record is from RNAcentral.
GGGGAUUGCUGAGUCAAAGGAUAUGAACACUUUCAUGGUUUUUGACGCAAAAGUGAAUAUUUUUUACAUUUCAGAAAAAGUUUGCCUAGAUGUCAAGUUUAAAGGAAAUGUCAGUCUUUAAUGGUGAGAGCCUUGAGUCACUCCUUCCUGACUAAAUUUCUGUCAUUUGGCCCUGCCUAUAUAGGUCCAAUUGCUGCUUGUUGCUCAUCUAGAACACCUGGGGAUGGGAAGAACUGCCUGAGGCCACGGUAGUUGACUGUGCUGGGUUUUUGCUGUCCCAGGAAUGGAGCUCCAGGGUGUGGUAGGAUUGUCACAAAGAAAAGGGAACACUGUGGAAGAGACUGGACGCAUCAGGAGGGGCUUUCAAAACAUCAAGUUCUCUCUACCCUCAGCCAGAUUCAGCAUCUCAUUAAGGUAUGUCACUGUCUUCAUGAUUGCCAUUGAAGAAAAUAUUCUCUUGGAAAACAUAAGGUCGUGCAGAAUUUCUAACAGUGAAAUCUCAUUGGUCAUAUCCUAUUCUGAUGCCUCAUGGAGUUUGUCAUUUUUGGAGCUGCUAUAUUGACCAAUACAGACGUACCUGUAUUAGGCGGCCCAGUGUUUCGUUGGGUCGAAUCCUGGGCGUGGACAUGGCACUGCUCAUCAAACCACGCUGAGGUGGCGUCCCACAUGCCACAACUAGAAGGACCCACAACGAAGAAUAUACAACUAUGUACCAGGGGGCUUUGGGGAGAAAAAGGAAAAAAUAAAAUCUUUUAAAAAAAAAUAAAUAAAAUAAAAUAAAAUGAAAAAGGAGUCAAUGUAUUCUUUUUAAAUAGCCAAACACAGCCUUCAAACACAAAAGCACCAACAACUGGUGCCUUGCUUGUUUUGACAAACUAUUCAAAUAAAUUUUAAUAGAAAUUAAAAAUGUGUAAAUUCUGCUGCACAGCUUAUAAUCACAAUGCUUAGUAUAAUAUAUAGUAUAUUGCACACAGAAAAUGUGACUUUAAUGCAUACCACUAGCAAAAGUACCUAACUUUUUAAUGCUCUGUACUUGCGCAUAUUUUUGUUAGAUAUGUUUGAUAUCACAGACUUCAGAUGUCUUUUAUAAUUUUGUGUUCCUUUGGUUGAUUUCCACAACAGAUUUGCAUGCCCCUAACCCAUCCUGGUUAAUAUUUCUUUAUAUCUGUAUCUGAAGUUUGGGAAAGUGACCUGAAUGAACAAGCCUUGACUGUGGUGUCACCAGUCUUUCAGUGGUUAUGUUAAUAACAUGUACAUAUAUUUCACCUCCAUCUCUUUUUCCUCAGAAACUGUCAUGUGUGAAAUCAUAAUGCUGUUUCCUUGAUGAGUUUUAUCAUAAAAAACAUCACAUUCAUUCUGCAUGAUUUUUUAAAAUUAACUUUACUGGGGUAUAACUUACAUAAAAUGCACCCAUUUUAACUGUACAUCAUGAUACACUUAGAUAAAAUGUAUGCACCUGCACUCUGCAUGAUUUUUAACUUAGAGGGAUGUGUGACCUGAGUUCAAUACUAAAUGGUCACUUACUAGCUAUGUGACCUUGGGUAAGUUACCUUAACUUCUCAAAGCCUCAGUUCUUCUCUCUGUAAAAUGAGGAUAAUGACAAUCUCAUAGAGUUGUGAAGAUUCACUCUGCUACCAUCUACUGCUGAAUAAUUUCUGAAGGACAAAGUUCCACUAGAAAUAAGUAGUUAUGAAGUCAGGCAAAAAUUCACAGACGCUAAAGCGUAGCUUCUGCAAUUGUUCCAGUACGAUGCUAAGCACUGGAAGCAGGUUGGUGGCGGGUUUUUUUUCCUUUACACUCCCUACAAGCGUGAAGGCAACGUUCUUCAGCGUCUGAGAACGUGGGCGAACUGUAUGUGCUGAAUGACGUGGCUUCGCUUUGGUCACAAGGGCUUCUGCCAGCCAAUGAACAACUUCCUGUGAAUACAGUCUGACGUCAGACAUGGAGAAACCCAUACGGCAGUGGCUUCAUGUCAUCCUUGAUUACGUCUGGAUAUAUACUCGGAGAUUUUUUUCUUUUUUUUCAUUUAUUUGUUUAUUUUUGGAUGUACAUCAUAAUAUAUUUCCGAUUCUGUGUAGAUUACAUCAUGUUCACCACCCGAAAACUAAUUACAGUCCAUCCCCUCACAGGCACUUUGGAAUUCAGCUGCAUUCUUCUACUUUCAACAAGUUACCUUCCUACCACUUCCAUUUGGGUGGAGCCAGAAGGAAGAAACGCCCAAACAGAUCUUCAGGAUCCACCCUCCCCAAUAGGUUCUCACGGCAGAGAUGCGCCUGGCAGGAGCUUCAACCCCAAGGCCACCCGCCGCCGCGGGUUCCCAAACCCGGAUAGGGCCCUAAUGGGAAAGCAGCCUGGGUUCGCCUCGGCCCAGCCUCCGCCAAGUCUUCGGGAUCUGACGACCCACAACAGCGCGAGGGCGGAGGGACCGGAGGAAGCAGAGGAAGAGGAGGAAGAGGAAUUGCUUUUGUCGAGGCUCCGCCCGGCGCUAGCCAGGCCUCGUGGAGCCUCCGGGGCUCGGGGUCCCCAGGGGGCGUGGCCUCAGGGGCGGAAGCGGAGCGCGGGCGGGGGCUCAGGCAGCGCGCGGCGCGGGGGAGGGUCGGAGCCUCACCGGGCGGGGCGGGGCCGCAGGGCCUCCCCAGAGCGGGCGGCGGAGCUGCACUAGUCCGCGCGCGGUAGGGCGGAGACCCCGUACCCGAGGAGAAGGCAAAUUCUUAAGAAGGUCUCCAGUUCUGCCCAUCCUGCCCCACAGUGUAAGUGACCAGUGCGGGUCGCCAGCCCGAGAGCCGGCAAUCAGGGUAGCUUCUGUUUUCAUUUUCACUUUCCCGCCCACGCCUCAGACUUGGAGCGGAGCAAGGCGUGGGGGCCAGCCCUGGUGUCACCGCCUCCGCCGCCAGGCUGGUCCCCUACCGGCGGCAGGCGAGGGCACAGGGGCAGUGGUGUGGGGGUUAGGUGCUCUGCAGGGUGCACUCUCCAAAAUGCUACCCUGCCCCGAGAUUUCCGCCAUCGAAGCAGUCCAGGAUAAAAUGCAAAUAUACUGGGGUCUUAAUUAGUAACUGAAGUGUUUCUGGCCCCCAGCUAUCUAAAAAUAUUCUUCUGGUUUAAGAGAUUAAGUGCCUUUUUCUUCUUUUUCUUUCUAGUGGAAAACUGGACGCUGAGAAGUACACGCCAGAUUUGGCGGCCAGGCUAGUCUGAGAGCUAUAGGACAUGGAGCACCCCCAGGGGAAGCAAGACAGGAUUCUCUCUCCCUCCUAGAUGUGAAUGUGUGACAUAGCUCCGCUCUCAACUCCUCUUUGCAGAUGAUUUGUGUUGUCAGAUAAUUCAAUCUUUCUAGUUUUGUGACAGCUUCUUAACUGAAUUCCUCCACUUUUAGUUCAGCUUAAGCCUUGAUUGUGUCAUCUACCCCAAUGCUAGACGAAAGAGUUAAAGGACCAAAAGAGAGUAAGCCUUUUAAAGAAAGAAAAGAGCUAUAUAAUUGCCUAAGUAAAGCAUACUUCAGCUUUCAUAACUGCAAAAUACGUUCAGUUUAACCAACCAAAUUUUGUGCUGGACCCUGGGAUAACACAUAUGUACUAUAGAUACUCUAGUAGGGAAGAUAGAUGAAUAGAAAGACAACUAUAAGUCAGUGUUAUACCUUUAAUAAUAAGAGCACAUACUAGGUACAAAAGUGGCUAACUGAAGGAGUGACUAAUUCUAUGAGGUAUCUGGGGACAGGGGUAUAAGAAAAAGGUUUCAGCCAGGAAUGAUGCCCAUCAGAGGGGGUGUUUGAAGCAUUAGCAGGAAUGGUUAAAAAAAAAAAAAGCUCAUGAGGUAGAUAGUAAUAAAUGACUACGAAAUACUGAUUGACAACACAGAAGAAAGUAAACUGUAAAGAGGUGAAUUCUCUUAAUUUUAAAUUAUCAGCAAAGAGAUUAGUUGAAAAAUGGGGUGAAGGAAUAAAGAACUCCUUUUAGUCAAGUCUUAAAAGUUACAGAAGUAAAAUAACGCUUCCAUAAUUCCCACUCCAGUAAAGACCAGUGUUGUUACAUUGGUGUAUGUUCCUCCAGGGUGUGUAUUCAUGACUGACCUAGUUUUCUGUAGAAAUGGAAUCUUCAUACACUGGAGGUGGUGUAGGAAAGUGGUUGCAUGUGCUGGCUUAGGCAGUCUGGUCUGGAGUGCAGGGUCCACUCCUUCCCAGUUCUGUCAUCUUGGGAAGUCAUUUCUCUUCACCUCAGUUUCCUCCUCUGCAGAAUAGGGCUAUAACUGUGUCACUUGUCGGUUGAGAUUUUAAAUGUCAGCAGAGACGUUUUGUGCAUGGAAAGGAACCCAUAAAGUGGCUUUUGUUUUAAUUGAUAUUUAAUUUAUUAGGAGUGUAAAAUUUAAUUCUAGUUACUAAGCAGUGAAACCCAAAUCUCAAAUUCACUUAUAAAUCUAUCAAUUUUAUGUUAAAAUAAAACACUUUUCUUGUUCUUUGCUUAAUCCUCAGUGAACAUAUUACUUUGACAUAUUAAACUUCCCAUUUAAACACUAUAAAUGGAAUAGAAUUUUCUUAAGUAUUACAUAUUAAAAUCACAAAAGCACACAAAUCUAAC